RNAcentral lists this long non-coding RNA (989 nucleotides) under Elaeis guineensis (African oil palm). RNAcentral describes it as "long non-coding RNA (EGUI_LNC006113)". The record is from RNAcentral. Lineage: Eukaryota; Viridiplantae; Streptophyta; Magnoliopsida; Arecales; Arecaceae.
GGUCCCAUGUAGAAAAUACUUUGAGGAAUAGCCUGAAUUACAUUGGGAAUUACAGAAUCAUGUUAAGAUUCGAACAGGAAUAGGAUAAAAGCACUCUUUUAGCGUCUGACUGAAGACAUUAAACUUAGCGCUUAUUGAGAGGCAAUCCAAUUUCUUAGGAGUAACCUCAAUAAAAAUCGUAGUCGUAAUAAAAAUCUGGCUGAAGACAUUAAACUUAGUGCUUACUGGGAGGCAAUCCAGAUCUUUGCAGUUUAAUUUCAUUUCUCUCUUUAGUUUGUUUAGGUUGCUUCAGUGAAUAAGUUGGGGGGAAGAGCUAAAUAUGCAUCCUCAAAGGCAUUUGAAGACUUCGUUGAUCCAAGAACACAUCAAAUCAGGUGUAUUCUUUCCUAUCCCUUUCUACCUAUUACACCCUCUAUUUUUUUUUUCUCCAUUGAGAACAACGUUGAUUAAGUUAGAGGGAGAAUAAUAAUUAAAAAAAAAUUAAAAUCCUCGAGUAAGUGAGCAUUUAGCAUUUAGACAUCCGAUUACGCUUAAAGAAUCAAGCUGAACUAAACAAAUUUUUUUAAACAAAUUGAUGUGCAGAUUAGAGAGUUAUGAGAUAUCGAAGAAUCAAGUAUUAAGAAAAUCUAAUAAAGAGUUAAGUCCAGAACUUAAACAUUUUUUUCAUGAGCACUUUUAAAUUCCUCCUACCUUCAUCAAAGAAGAGUUUACUUCUUAUGGGCAAAUGUAGAAUAACUAUAUGUUUCUUCAUAAAAUAAAUUAUUUUAUAAAAUAAAAUAGUUUUCAAGUACUUCUUACUUGGUAACCAGUCCCUUUGCCCAAACAAGCAUUGAGGUUCGCGUUGAAAAGUGAGAAGGACAAAGAAGCUCGUUGUAAGGUUAGUCUUAACUCGUAGUCUGCUUGAUUCGAGCAAGUAAGUCCGAGGGGUAUUUGAUAUCUAGUGCUCUAAAAUCAUCUGAUUUGGGAAUCAUUGGUUGAAAACUUGCUAC